UUAGCAUAAGACAUGGGUAAAGCAAAGUCACAGCCUUAAUUUUAAGGCUUGUUCUCCACUUUGGAGAAGUUUCAAAUCUAUCAGGGCAUGGAAAUAUUAAUAGUUUGGCCCAGCACGGUCAGAAGCAAUAGCGCUACCUGCUUGAGAUGAGGAAGGUGUCCUUCCAAGCAGUCCUAAGGUAGGAAUUGUGACCUUCUCGCCUCUUUCCUGCCACCUCAGCCCAGCACAGAGCCUGGCUUCCAAAAUUAUGGGCCAAGCAACCAGGAGCUGAAGUCAUUGGCUGUUUGGAACCAGGGUUGUGCGGCAUGCUGGAGUUAAGAAAAGGCUGCCUCCUGAGAGGAUGGACUGCAACACCAGUGGGCAAGAACAAACAGAACUCAUCUGCUUUCCCUAAGCACCGAUAAAUAGAAGACAUGGGAUGAGGGUAUCUAACAAAGACCGGAGUCUCAGGGUCACUAAAGAUAAGGCAAAGCAAAUCAAGGCCAAUGAGCCCUGAACAGAAAGCAUGUCGGGAAGGGAAGGCUUCGUACAGCUGACAUCAAUUUGUUUUGAAAUCUGAAGGCAGAGCAAAUUGCAAGCAGCAGCCUGACAUUUUCUGCAAAUAGCAAAGAAGAGAUGAGCCUUGCAAGGAAGAACAGGGCAGGCAAGCAAAGCAGGGUCAAGUGUCUGCCUCUUCUAGAAAGACAGACAGUGCAAGAACCUCUUAUCCAUGG
This 713-nucleotide long non-coding RNA is filed under the name Mus pahari (shrew mouse). RNAcentral describes it as "predicted gene 44730 (MGP_PahariEiJ_G0004123.1)". The record is from RNAcentral. Lineage: Eukaryota; Metazoa; Chordata; Mammalia; Rodentia; Muridae.